AUGGCGGCAGGCAGGAUGCUGGAGCUCCUCGUCUUCUUCUCCACGGCCGGCAGCUUGCUUCUCGACUUGGCGGCGGUGCUCGUCUGUAUCCUGGCUGGUCCAUACUACCCGACGUUUAGGCUGCCCAACCAGUUGAUGUGGUGGACUUCCUUCUGCGGUGCCGUCCCGUGGGGUGCCGUGCUGCUGAUGUUACAGGUCAACUGCUGGUGUCACGGCUGGGAGGCCACCAACGUCGACCUCCUGGUCCUGAGCGCCGUGGAGUGGGUCGUCGCGUGUUCCACCUUCGGCUCAGCGUGUGCCGCCCUCGCCGUCGACCAUCUCGCCGUCCAGAACAACUAUUGCGGCCCGAGCGCCGCCGUGUGCUCAGUGUACCUUGUCGCCGCCGCGAUCUCAUGCGCCGCCGGGGCUCUCGCCGCCGCGUCGGCCUUGGGGAUGCUCUGGAUCCUCGCCUCCCGGUUCCGCCCAGUUCACGCGGCCUAG
RNAcentral lists this ribosomal RNA (480 nucleotides) under Triticum aestivum (bread wheat). Its description in RNAcentral is "partial small subunit ribosomal RNA". Lineage: Eukaryota; Viridiplantae; Streptophyta; Magnoliopsida; Poales; Poaceae. The record is from RNAcentral.